Molecule: ribosomal RNA, 253 nt
Filed under: uncultured Singulisphaera sp.
Lineage: Bacteria; Pseudomonadati; Planctomycetota; Planctomycetia; Isosphaerales; Isosphaeraceae
Description: partial 16S ribosomal RNA
Rfam family: Bacterial small subunit ribosomal RNA
Source: RNAcentral
UUCGGGAGAGGCAAGCGUUGCUCGGAAUCAUUGGGCUUAAAGCGCGUGUAGGCGGCUCGUUAAGUGCCAUGUGAAAGCCCUCGGCUCAACCGGGGAAUUGCACGGUAUACUGACGGACUUGAGGGAGGUAGGGGUGCCUGGAACUCUAGGUGGAGCGGUGAAAUGCGUUGAUAUCUAGAGGAACGCCCGUGGCGAAAGCGGGGCACUGGGCCUUUCCUGACGCUGAGACGCGAAAGCGUGGGUAGCAAACGGG